UUAUUUUCUGUCUUCUUCCCCAAUUUCUUCACCGAGACUUCAGCAACGAAGUCUUCGCCGAGAGUCUGCCAUUUUCAGACGAACUCUCUUGAACUCCAGCCAGCCCGACGUUGACAGCUGACGUCACCAUCUACCACUGGAGCCAUCCCGUCAGCCUACUACUCCCGCCGUCGCCGGUCUGUUACCAACGAUGACUGGGACAAGCUGAUCCUCAAAUGGCUAAAAUUUCCAGCUAAAACAUCAUAAUCGAUUAAAGUUUCCCAAGAGAUACAACGAACACAUGUACACACAGCGAAGAGAGGGAAACAGGGACUUCACUGUAGCGGACUCAAACCGCGGGCAUCGCCGGAAAGGAG
This 356-nucleotide long non-coding RNA is filed under the name Eucalyptus grandis. RNAcentral describes it as "long non-coding RNA (EGRA_LNC002704)". The record is from RNAcentral. Lineage: Eukaryota; Viridiplantae; Streptophyta; Magnoliopsida; Myrtales; Myrtaceae.